UUUUCCCAAAAAAAAAAUUAUGAUAAAAUUGGAACGAUAUAUAAAAGAUUAGCAUGGCCCAUGUGCAAGGAUGAAAUGAUGGUCUGAAUAUUUUA
Molecule: small nuclear RNA, 95 nt
Filed under: Amborella trichopoda
Lineage: Eukaryota; Viridiplantae; Streptophyta; Magnoliopsida; Amborellales; Amborellaceae
Source: RNAcentral